This 546-nucleotide ribosomal RNA is filed under the name uncultured bacterium. RNAcentral's name for it is "bacterial SSU rRNA". It matches the Rfam family "Bacterial small subunit ribosomal RNA", at positions 89 to 668 of the family's 1533-position model. The record is from RNAcentral.
AGGAGCAUGGCAGACGGGUGAGUAAUGUAUGGGAACGUACCCUUUUGUUCGGAAUAACGUUUGGAAACGAACGAUAAUACCGGAUAAGUCCGAAAGGAGAAAGGUUUACUGCGAGAGGAGCGGCCCAUAUCGGAUUAGGUUGUUGGUGAGGUAAAGGCUCACCAAGCCUGUGAUCUGUAGCUGAUCUGAGAGGAUGAUCAGCCACACUGGGACUGAGACACGGCCCAGACUCCUACGGGAGGCAGCAGUGGGGAAUAUUGGACAAUGGGGGAAACCCUGAUCCAGCGAUGCCGCGUGAGUGAAGAAGGCCUUCGGGUUGUAAAGCUCUUUUAUCCGGGACGAUAAUGACGGUACCGGAAGAAUAAGCUCCGGCUAACUUCGUGCCAGCAGCCGCGGUAAUACGAAAGGAGCUAGCGUUGUUCGGAAUUACUGGGGCGUAAAGGGUGCGUAGGUGGUUCUAUAAGUGAGGUGUGAAAGCCCCGGGCUCAACCUGGGAAAUGCAUUUCAUACUGUAGGACUUGGUGUGCGAGAGGGGAAAGUGGAAUG